Molecule: ribosomal RNA, 188 nt
Filed under: uncultured bacterium
Lineage: Bacteria
Description: partial 16S ribosomal RNA
Rfam family: Bacterial small subunit ribosomal RNA
Source: RNAcentral
CCUACGGGAGGCAGCAGUAGGGAAUAUUGGGCAAUAGUCGCAAGACUGACCCAGCCAUGCCGCGUGCAGGAAGAAGGCGCUCAGCGUUGUAAACUGCUUUUAUCAAGGAAGAAAAAGUUCUUGCGAGAACAAUUGACGGUACUUGAGGAAUAAGCCACGGCUAACUACGUGCCAGCAGCCGCGGUAAU